GACGAACGCUGGCGGCGUGCUUAACACAUGCAAGUCGAACGGAAAGGCCCUGCUUUUGUGGGGUGCUCGAGUGGCGAACGGGUGAGUAACACGUGAGUAACCUGCCCUUGACUUUGGGAUAACUUCAGGAAACUGGGGCUAAUACCGGAUAGGAGCUCCUGCUGCAUGGUGGGGGUUGGAAAGUUUCGGCGGUUGGGGAUGGACUCGCGGCUUAUCAGCUUGUUGGUGGGGUAGUGGCUUACCAAGGCUUUGACGGGUAGCCGGCCUGAGAGGGUGACCGGCCAGAUUGGGAGUGAGAUACGGCCCAGACUCUGAUGGGAGUCAGUAGUGGGGAGUAUUGGGUAGUGUGCGGAUGCCUGAUGCAGCAACGCAGGGUGCGGAAUGACGGCCUUCGUGUUAUAAGUAUCUUUGUCUUGUGACGAAGCGUGCGUCUCGGGACUGGGUAAAUAAGCACCGGCUAACUACUUG
This 468-nucleotide ribosomal RNA is filed under the name uncultured bacterium. RNAcentral's name for it is "partial 16S ribosomal RNA". It matches the Rfam family "Bacterial small subunit ribosomal RNA", at positions 28 to 507 of the family's 1533-position model. The record is from RNAcentral.